GGUGGAUUUAGCUCAGCUGGUUAGAGUACCGGAUUGUGGUUCCGUGGGUCGUGGGUUCGAAUCCCACAUUCCACCC
RNAcentral lists this transfer RNA (76 nucleotides) under Bacteroidales bacterium. Its description in RNAcentral is "tRNA-His". It matches the Rfam family "tRNA". Rfam says of the family: Transfer RNA (tRNA) molecules are approximately 80 nucleotides in length. RNAcentral also lists the same sequence under 1 other name. The record is from RNAcentral. Lineage: Bacteria; Pseudomonadati; Bacteroidota; Bacteroidia; Bacteroidales.